CGGUUUUUUUAGCACACUGAUUUGUUGUACGAGCUUUGAAUCUUUCAGGCUAAGUUUGGUUUUAGAAAGUUGGAGGGAAAAUGUGAAGGGGAGAAAACAGGAAGGAAAAGUAAAAAAAAAAGAGACAGGGUGAAGGAAAACAUAGGUACAAGCCUUUUUCGAAAAUUAGGAAAAAGGAAAAUAGAAGGAAAACAUAGCUAGAAGGCUUAUUUAAGAAGUAGGAGAAGGUGGAAUUGCUAUGAAGUACUACUAGGCUUGGUUCCCAAAUGUUGUAGAACAUGACUGAUCCUUAGUCAUAUUUCUUAGCCUAAGAAGCAAAUGCACAAUAAUCCCACACACAAACCC
RNAcentral lists this long non-coding RNA (345 nucleotides) under Vitis vinifera (wine grape). RNAcentral describes it as "long non-coding RNA (VVIN_LNC000943)". The record is from RNAcentral. Lineage: Eukaryota; Viridiplantae; Streptophyta; Magnoliopsida; Vitales; Vitaceae.